CCUACGGGUGGCUGCAGUGGGGAAUAUUGGACAAUGGGGGAAACCCUGAUCCAGCAAUGCCGCGUGUGUGAAGAAGGCCUGCGGGUUGUAAAGCACUUUCGGCGGGAAAGAAAAGUCGCGCGUUAAUACCGUGCGGCCUUGACGUUACCCGCAAAAGAAGCACCGGCUAACUCCGUGCCAGCAGCCGCGGUAAUACGGAUGGUGCAAGCGUUAACCGGAAUUACUGGGCGUAUAGCUCAGGUAGGCAGGCCCCGGGCUUAACCUGGGAACUGCAUCCGAUACUGGUUGCCUAGAGUAUGGAAGAGGGAAGCGGAAUUCCAGGUGUAGCGGUGAAAUGCGUAGAUAUCUGGAGGAACAUCAGUGGCGAAGGCGGCUUCCUGGUCCAAUACUGACGCUGAGGUGCGAAAGCGUGGGGAGCAAACAGGAUUAGAUACCCGAGUAGUC
This 444-nucleotide ribosomal RNA is filed under the name uncultured bacterium. Its description in RNAcentral is "partial 16S ribosomal RNA". It matches the Rfam family "Bacterial small subunit ribosomal RNA", at positions 338 to 795 of the family's 1533-position model. The record is from RNAcentral.